GAUGAAGAACGUAGCGAAAUGCGAUAAGUAAUGUGAAUUGCAGAAUUCAGUGAAUCAUCGAAUCUUUGAACGCACAUUGCGCCCGCUAGUAUUCUGGCGGGCAUGCCUGUCCGAGCGUCAUUUCACCCCUCAAGCCCCCGGGCUUGGUGUUGGGGAUCGGCGAGCCUCCGCGCCCGCCGUCCCCUAAAUCUAGUGGCGGUCUCGCUGUAGCUUCCUCUGCGUAGUAGCACACCUCGCACUGGGAAACAGCGCGGCCACGCCGUUAAACCCCCAACUUCUGAACGUUUGACCUCGGAUCAGGUAGGAAUACCCGCUGAACUUAAGCAUAUCAAUAAGCGGAGGA
This 343-nucleotide unclassified non-coding RNA is filed under the name soil metagenome. Its description in RNAcentral is "partial contains 5.8S ribosomal RNA, internal transcribed spacer 2, and large subunit ribosomal RNA". The stretch from base 1 to 120 matches the Rfam family "5.8S ribosomal RNA", at positions 35 to 154 of the family's 154-position model. The record is from RNAcentral.